UACGUAGGGGGCUAGCGUUGUCCGGAAUCAUUGGGCGUAAAGAGCGUGUAGGCGGCCAGACAGGUCAGCUGUGAAAACUCGAGGCUCAACCUCGAGACGUCGGUUGAAACCGUUUGGCUAGAGUCCGGAAGAGGAGAGUGGAAUUCCCGGUGUAGCGGUGAAAUGCGCAGAUAUCGGGAGGAACACCAGUGGCGAAGGCGACUACCUGGCCUGUUCUUGACGCUGAGGCGCGAAAGCUAGGGGAGCAAACGGG
Molecule: ribosomal RNA, 253 nt
Filed under: uncultured bacterium
Lineage: Bacteria
Description: partial 16S ribosomal RNA
Rfam family: Bacterial small subunit ribosomal RNA
Source: RNAcentral